Molecule: long non-coding RNA, 1401 nt
Filed under: Pogona vitticeps (central bearded dragon)
Lineage: Eukaryota; Metazoa; Chordata; Lepidosauria; Squamata; Agamidae
Description: lncRNA (ENSPVIG00000022550.1)
Source: RNAcentral
UUAAUUAGCAAAAGGGAUCUCUGGUAGACUUGAAACUACCUAGUUCCAUAAAGACGUCUGACCUUGCUUCUAACUUUCACAACCUCAAAGCUUUUAAUAGCUUAACUAUUAUGUCUACUUUUGUGAAACACAGCCCAUGUACAAAAUCUGGCGAGAAAAACAUGACCCCGUUAUGAUCACUUUCAUCUGACUUGUAUCUUGCUCACUUUAAAUGACUGCCAAUCAUUGAGGAAAAUUGUAGAAUAACUGGAGAGGCUAAAGAUGCUCAGGGAAGCCACGUCUUCCGCAGGAGCUCUGGAACCAAAAGGUGGAUUGCGCCCAGGUUAUGUGCUAAUGCUCAGGACAAGUGUUCUAAUAAAAAUGUAUCCCAGGAGGCUGUACUCUGAAGGUCAACACCAUAAGCACUUGCUCAUAUGCUAAGUUUAGACCAACGAUCAUCAUGACAUUUCAAACAUCAUGUUCUCUUGCCCUGACUUGAACUUUUAUGGAUAACUCUAUUUCAAUAACGUGUCCAACCAAAACAUGUAAAGUGGUCAUGAAUGUGUUUUGCUUCAUGAAGAAGAAUGUAAACGAGGAACUCAGAAAAUGUUCUCAGACAUGUUUUUUUUUCUGAGUAGACAACGGGAAAUACAUUUGAGUAUCACUGUGAUCACGCUGUAUUAGUAAGAAUGUCUUGACCUAUUUGCCCUAUUUUUUACUCUUCUAAAUAUUUUAAAUGUACUAAAAGCUGUAUCAUUCAGCCAUAUUUCUACAGCAUGAAUCAUCCCUGGAUACAGUUCAUUGACUUCUUCUUCUUUUGUGUCAACUUUAUUGACGUCAGCAGGGACACAAUCCGUCUAGGAGUUCUUCUGCUGCCGUUCUUGUUUAAAUGAAUAGGGGAUUGAUUGUGGCCCCUCUUUUGCUUCCAAUAUUUUAUGUAUCACAUGCCCUGGAGAACUCUCUGUUUCAUUAAAUCAGUUGAGAUAAAUCAUCACAGACUGAAUUGUAUCUUGAUAGCAAGAUAGCUGAACACUGAAUUAUUAAAUUCACUUGUUUUGGAAGUAAAGACACAAAAAGCAACACAGUCACUUGCAAAACUGAUGUUGUGUGAAUCAAAACAACACAGUCUAUCUUUUCUCUUCCAAAAUUUUCUGCUCCUUGGACUUUGAGAUUGCACUGUCAAGCGUCAUCACUGGUAGCUUCUAACUGUAGCAGGGAACAGACAUCCUGAAAUUUUAGGCUGAGACCUUCCCACUUGCACCAUGAAUUGCUCCUGCUCGUAAUGUCCUAUUUGAAGUCUGCACGUUACUAAAUAUACUGUACACAUGAAUUCCACAGCAUUCUAUUUGAUUUAAACAGUUAGAAAAAAAUUAUUACCACCACAUCACCAAAUUAUGAGUGGAAUGUCUCCUCUCUUUUACA